GACGAACGCUGGCGGCGUGCCUAAUACAUGCAAGUAGAACGCUGAAGAGAGGAGCUUGCUCUUCUUGGAAGAGUUGCGAACGGGUGAGUAACGCGUAGGUAACCUGCCUUGUAGCGGGGGAUAACUAUUGGAAACGAUAGCUAAUACCGCAUAACAAUGGGUGACCCAUGUCAUUCAUUUGAAAGGGGCAACUGCUCCACUACAAGGUGGACCUGCGUUGUAUUAGCUAGUAGGUGAGGUAACGGCUCACCUAGGCGACGAUACAUAGCCGACCUGAGAGGGUGAUCGGCCACACUGGGACUGAGACACGGCCCAGACUCCUACGGGAGGCAGCAGUAGGGAAUCUUCGGCAAUGGGGGCAACCCUGACCGAGCAACGCCGCGUGAGUGAAGAAGGUUUUCGGAUCGUAAAGCUCUGUUGUAAGUCAAGAACGAGUGUGAGAGUGGAAAGUUCACACUGUGACGGUAGCUUACCAGAAAGGGACGGCUAACUACGUGCCAGCAGCCGCGGUAAUACGUAGGUCCCGAGCGUUGUCCGGAUUUAUUGGGCGUAAAGCGAGCGCAGGCGGUUUGAUAAGUCUGAAGUUAAAGGCUGUGGCUCAACCAUAGUUCGCUUUGGAAACUGUCAAACUUGAGUGCAGAAGGGGAGAGUGGAAUUCCAUGUGUAGCGGUGAAAUGCGUAGAUAUAUGGAGGAACACCGGUGGCGAAAGCGGCUCUCUGGUCUGUAACUGACGCUGAGGCUCGAAAGCGUGGGGAGCGAACAGG
Molecule: ribosomal RNA, 765 nt
Filed under: uncultured Streptococcus sp.
Lineage: Bacteria; Bacillati; Bacillota; Bacilli; Lactobacillales; Streptococcaceae
Description: bacterial SSU rRNA
Rfam family: Bacterial small subunit ribosomal RNA
Source: RNAcentral